CUUUUAUUUAUUUUGAAUUUCUACAAAAUGAAAAUAGCAUUAUAUUACAUGAAAAGCAAAUCAGCAAACUGACCCCAGCCCUUACAAACAAAAGAAAAACCCAAAAAAAAAAAAAGGGAAAAAAGGGUAAUUCUGUUUCUUGUUCAAUGCGAAUAAGCAUAUACAUAUCCCUACUUGGAACUUGGUUUUUUAUUUAAAAGGAAAAAACCAAGCUAAAGACCCCAAAAAAAAAAAAAGGAUAGCAAAAUAGGUGGGGAUUUCGGAAUUUGCAUAGAAAAGGGACUGCCGACGGUGUCGGUGGAGAGGCUGCGGCGUCGGAGCUGGUGCUGUUACAACAGUGAUCCUUAUGAAUGCAAGGAUUUAUUCCCUAAUAUACUGUACUUGUUCAUAUUUAAUUCAUAUCUAUAUCUGAUAGUCGGCGAAAUUUUGAUUUUAGUUUUAGGUGGAGAAGCGUCUAGAAGAACCAAACAUCUGAUCAAGGAGGAUGACGAUAGCCAUGGCCACCGAUGUGUCCAUUUUCGGCCCUACAAUGAGCCGGAACACGUCGACUCCAAAUGCCACUCCUCCAACCGCCUCUUUCUGUUUAAUCUCCGCGACCUUCCUCCUAUUCUCGUCGUACACCGCGCAGGUCCGUUGCGCGUACGAUCCUUCUAUUUCGUAUACUAUGUUCUUUCCAUUGCUAGAGCUUCUACUACCGGUUGUAACUGAGCUCACGUGAGCCAAACUCUUGCUGUUAAGGAUGUUCACGUGCUUCCUCAUCGAGAAGCGGGGAUUCACCGCCGUUUCUCCGUCGUAAACCAGCCAGUUGUCCGUUAAGCUCAGCCUCUGAUUUAUAAAUAAAUUGUAUAAGAAUUUAAACUUCAAACUCAGGAUGAAUAUUAAUUGAAUUCACAGAUUACUACGAACCUUGCGUCGAAUGGUGAGGAGAGGCUUGCCGCCGGCAUCCAUGAGAAUGAUCUCGCCUUUAGUACCAGAGCCAGCCAUGUAAUUAUCAACUCUAAAAACGAGGUUCCCUUUGGCAUCAAACACAGUAAAGCCAUUGCAGUUGAAAAGCAAAGACUUCUUCCACACAGUUAACACAACAGCAUCAGCUGCCUCUAAUUUAGCAUAUGACUUGAGCGUCGUCUGCUCAGCAGCGACGACUGUGGCGCCGAUGUUAGGGUAUACCUUGGUCAUUUUGGG
Molecule: unclassified non-coding RNA, 1182 nt
Filed under: Hevea brasiliensis (rubber tree)
Lineage: Eukaryota; Viridiplantae; Streptophyta; Magnoliopsida; Malpighiales; Euphorbiaceae
Source: RNAcentral